RNAcentral lists this ribosomal RNA (447 nucleotides) under uncultured bacterium. RNAcentral's name for it is "partial 16S ribosomal RNA". It matches the Rfam family "Bacterial small subunit ribosomal RNA", at positions 29 to 523 of the family's 1533-position model. The record is from RNAcentral.
AACGAACGCUGGCGGCAGGCCUAACACAUGCAAGUCGAGCGCCCCGCAAGGGGAGCGGCGGACGGGUGAGUAACGCGUGGGAAUUUUCCUCAAGGUACGGAACAACUCAGGGAAACUUGGGCUAAUACCGUAUGAUGUCUAGCGACCAAAGAUUUAUCGCCUUGGGAUAAGCCCGCGUCAGAUUAGGUAGUUGGUGGGGUAACGGCCUACCAAGCCUGCGAUCUGUAGCUGGUCUGAGAGGACGAUCAGCCACAUUGGGACUGAGACACGGCCCAAACUCCUACGGGAGGCAGCAGUGGGGAAUCUUGCGCAAUGGGCGAAAGCCUGACGCAGCCAUGCCUCGUGAAUGAUGAAGGUCUUAGGAUUGUAAAGUUCCUUCGCUCGUGACGAUGAUGACGGUAACGAGAGAAGAAGCCCCGGCUAACUUCGUGCCAGCCGCCGCCGUAA